UACGGGGGGGGCAAGCGUUGUUCGGAAUUACUGGGCGUAAAGGGCUCGUAGGUGGCCAACUAAGUCAGACGUGAAAUCCCUCGGCUUAACCGGGGAACUGCAUCUGAUACUGGAUGGCUUGAGUUUGGGAGAGGGAUGCGGAAUUCCAGGUGUAGCGGUGAAAUGCGUAGAUAUCUGGAGGAACACCGGUGGCGAAGGCGGCAUCCUGGACCGGCAUUGACGCUGAGGCGCGAAAGCCAGGGGAGCAAACGGG
This 253-nucleotide ribosomal RNA is filed under the name uncultured bacterium. RNAcentral describes it as "partial 16S ribosomal RNA". It matches the Rfam family "Bacterial small subunit ribosomal RNA", at positions 524 to 776 of the family's 1533-position model. The record is from RNAcentral.